GACGAACGCUGGCGGCGUGCCUAAUACAUGCAAGUCGAGCGAGCGGAACCAACAGAUUUACUUCGGUAAUGACGUUGGGAAAGCGAGCGGCGGAUGGGUGAGUAACACGUGGGGAACCUGCCCCUAAGUCUGGGAUACCAUUUGGAAACAGGUGCUAAUACCGGAUAAUAAAGCAGAUCGCAUGAUCAGCUUUUGAAAGGCGGCGUAAGCUGUCGCUAAGGGAUGGCCCCGCGGUGCAUUAGCUAGUUGGUAAGGUAACGGCUUACCAAGGCGACGAUGCAUAGCCGAGUUGAGAGACUGAUCGGUCACAUUGGGACUGAGACACGGCCCAAACUCCUACGGGAGGCAGCAGUAGGGAAUCUUCCACAAUGGACGCAAGUCUGAUGGAGCAACGCCGCGUGAGUGAAGAAGGUUUCGGAUCGUAAAGCUCUGUUGUUGGUGAAGAAGGAUAGAGGUAAUAACUGGCCUUUAUUUGACGGUAAUCAACCAGAAAGUCACGGCU
RNAcentral lists this ribosomal RNA (502 nucleotides) under uncultured bacterium. Its description in RNAcentral is "bacterial SSU rRNA". It matches the Rfam family "Bacterial small subunit ribosomal RNA", at positions 28 to 498 of the family's 1533-position model. The record is from RNAcentral.